CGAAGGGGCUAGCGUUGCUCGGAAUUACUGGGCGUAAAGGGAGCGUAGGCGGACAUUUAAGUCAGGGGUGAAAUCCCGGGGGCUCAACCUCGGAAUUGCCUUUGAUACUGGGUGUCUUGAGUAUGAGAGAGGUGUGUGGAACUCCGAGUGUAGAGGUGAAAUUCGUAGAUAUUCGGAAGAACACCAGUGGCGAAGGCGACACACUGGCUCAUUACUGACGCUGAGGCUCGAAAGUGUGGGGGAGCAAACAGGAUU
RNAcentral lists this ribosomal RNA (255 nucleotides) under uncultured bacterium. RNAcentral's name for it is "partial 16S ribosomal RNA". It matches the Rfam family "Bacterial small subunit ribosomal RNA", at positions 527 to 779 of the family's 1533-position model. The record is from RNAcentral.